GUCUAAGUAUAAGCAACUAUACGGUGAAACUGCGAAUGGCUCAUUAAAUCAGUUAUCGUUUAUUUGAUAGUACCUUACUACUUGGAUAACCGUGGUAAUUCUAGAGCUAAUACAUGCUAAAAACCCCGACUUCGGGAGGGGUGUAUUUAUUAGAUAAAAAACCAACGCCCUUCGGGGCUCCUUGGUGAUUCAUAAUAACUUAACGAAUCGCAUGGCCUUGCGCCGGCGAUGGUUCAUUCAAAUUUCUGCCCUAUCAACUUUCGAUGGUAGGAUAGUGGCCUACCAUGGUAUCAACGGGUAACGGGGAAUUAGGGUUCUAUUCCGGAGAGGGAGCCUGAGAAACGGCUACCACAUCCAAGGAAGGCAGCAGGCGCGCAAAUUACCCAAUCCCGACACGGGGAGGUAGUGACAAUAAAUACUGAUACAGGGCUCUUUUGGGUCUUGUAAUUGGAAUGAGUACAAUUUAAAUCCCUUAACGAGGAACAAUUGGAGGCAG
This 496-nucleotide ribosomal RNA is filed under the name fungal sp. TRN448. Its description in RNAcentral is "SSU rRNA". It matches the Rfam family "Eukaryotic small subunit ribosomal RNA", at positions 57 to 557 of the family's 1831-position model. The record is from RNAcentral. Lineage: Eukaryota; Fungi.